Molecule: small nuclear RNA, 106 nt
Organism: Perognathus longimembris pacificus (Pacific pocket mouse)
Lineage: Eukaryota; Metazoa; Chordata; Mammalia; Rodentia; Heteromyidae
Source: RefSeq, a predicted model, not a curated record
CUGCUUGUUCUGCAGCACAUGUACCAAAUCUGGAACAAUACAGAGAAAAUCUUUAUGAUGCAUGCUCAAGAUUGACACACAAAUUCAUGAAGUGUUCCAUUUCCUU